Molecule: ribosomal RNA, 1620 nt
Filed under: Durio zibethinus
Lineage: Eukaryota; Viridiplantae; Streptophyta; Magnoliopsida; Malvales; Malvaceae
Description: SSU rRNA
Rfam family: Eukaryotic small subunit ribosomal RNA
Source: RNAcentral
CCUGGUUGAUCCUGCCGGUAGUCAUACGCUUGUCUCAAAGAUUAAGCCAUGAAUGUGUAAGUAUGAACUAAUUCAGACUGUGAAACUGUGAAUGGCUCAUUAAAUCAAUUAUUAGUUGUUUGAUGGUAUCUUACUUACUCAGAUAAUCGUAGUAAUUCUAGAGCUAAUACGUGCAAACAAAUCUCGACUUCUAGAAGGGAUACAUUUAUUAGAUAAAAUGUCGACGCGGGCUAUGCCGUUGCUUUGAUGAUUCAUGAUAACUCGCUGGAUCGCACGGCCUUUGUGCCGACGAUGCAUCAUUCAAAUUUUUGCCCUAUCAACUUUCGAUGGUAGGAUAGUGGCCUACUAUGGUGGUGACGGGUGACGGAUAAUUAGGGUUUGAUUCCUGAGAGGGAGCCUGAGAAACGGCUACCAUAUCCAGGGAAGGUAGUAGGAGCGCAAAUUAGAGGUAGUGACAAUAAAUAACAAUACCCGGCUCUAUGAGUCUGGUAAUUGGAAUGAGUACAAUCUAAAUCCCUUAACAAAGAUCCAUUGGAGGGCAAGUCUGGUGCCAACAGCCGUGAUAAUUCUAGCUCCAAUAGCAUAUAUUUAAGUUGUUGUAGUUAAAAAGCUCAUAGUUGGAACUAGGGUUGGGUCGUCUGGUCCGCCUUACGGUGAGCACUAGUUUACUCGUCCCUACUGCCGGUGAUGUGCUUCUAGACUUAAUUGCCCGGGUCGUUCCUUCGGCUCUGUUACUUUGAAGAAAUUAGAAUGCUCAAAGCAGGCCUACACUUGUAUACAUUAGCAUGGGAUAACAUCAUAGGAUAUCGGUCCUAUUGUGUUGGCCUUCAAGAUCGGAGUAAUGAUUAACAGGGACAGUCAGGGUCAUUCGUAUUUCAUAGUUAGAGGUGAAAUUCUUGGAUUUAUGAAAGACGAACAACUACGAAAGCAUUUGCCAAGGAUGUUUUCAUUAAUCAAGAAUGAAAGUUAGGGGCUCGAAGAUGAUCAGAUACCAUCCUAGUCUCAACCAUAAAUGAUACCGACCAGGGAUUAGCAGAUGUUACUUCUAGGACUUCAUCAGUACCUUAUGAGAAAUCAAAGUCUUUGGGUUCCAAAGGGAAUAUGGUCGUAAGCCUGAAACUUAAAGGAAUUGACGGAAAGGACCACUAGGAGUGGAGCCUGCGGCUUAAUUUGACUCAGCACAGGGAAACUUACCAGGUCCAGACAUAGUAAGGAUUGACAGACUGAGAGCUCUUUCUUGAUUCUAUAGGUGGUGGUGCAUGGCCGUUCUUAGUUGGUAGAGCGAUUUGUCUGGUGUCAUAACGUCUAGAUCCGGGGAUCUAUCGCCAGACAUUGACUUUAGGGAGUCGCCACCAAUCUUUUUUUAUCCAGGUGUGAUUGGCCACCUAAGGAAUCUGCCCUUUUAGGGAACACCUAAGCUUAAGGACACCUAAGCUUAAGGGUCCCUAAAAGAAUAGGUUCGGGUCUGCUUAACCAGAACAGAGUUCGGGAGUUCGGUUACGUGUGAGGAAGGUUAUAGCACCCUCACAACGCCCAUCAAAAGAUGGUACCAGCUUGAAUUUGUGUUAUCCAAAAGCCUUAAAAUUUUACCAAGUAGUUAGUUGUUGAAAAUUAUUCUCA